Molecule: ribosomal RNA, 420 nt
Filed under: uncultured euryarchaeote
Lineage: Archaea; Methanobacteriati; Methanobacteriota
Description: bacterial SSU rRNA
Rfam family: Archaeal small subunit ribosomal RNA
Source: RNAcentral
AUCCUGUUAAGUCAGGCAACGAGCAAGACCCGUGCCCACAGUUGCCAGCAUACCCUCCGGGGUGAUGGGCACACUGCGGGGACCGCCGCUGCUAAAGCGGAGGAAGGUGCGGGCUACGGUAGGUUAGUAUGCCCCGAAUCAUCCGGGCUACACGCGGGCUACAAUGGUUGGGACAAUGGGCACCUACACCGAGAGGUGAUGGUAAUCUCCUAAACCCAGCCUUAGUUCGGAUUGAGGGCUGCAACUCGCCCUCAUGAAGCCGGAAUCCGUAGUAAUCGCGUAUCAAUAUCACGCGGUGAAUACGUCCCUGCUCCUUGCACACACCGCCCGUCAAACCAUGCGAGUGAGGUCUGAAUGAGGGCACGCUUUAUGGCGUGUUCGAAUUUGGGCUUCGCGAGUGGGGUUAAGUCGUAACAAGGU